UAAUACGUAGGGGGCAAGCGUUGUUCGGAAUUACUGGGCGUAAAGGGCGCGUAGGCGGCACGGCAAGUCAGGAGUGAAAGCCCGGGGCUCAACCCCGGAACGGCUUUUGAGACUGCCGAGCUAGAGUGCGGAAGGGGCAACCGGAAUUCCCAGUGUAGCGGUGAAAUGCGUAGAUAUUGGGAAGAACACCGGAGGCGAAGGCGGGUUGCUGGGCCGACACUGACGCUGAGGCGCGAAAGCCAGGGGAGCAAACGGGAUUAGAUACCCCGGUAGUCCUGGCCCUAAACGAUGGAUACUUGGUGUGUGGGGUUCUGAAAGUCCCCGCGUGCCGGAGCUAACGCGGUAAGUAUCCCGCCUGGGGAGUACGGUCGCAAGGCUG
This 379-nucleotide ribosomal RNA is filed under the name uncultured bacterium. RNAcentral's name for it is "bacterial SSU rRNA". It matches the Rfam family "Bacterial small subunit ribosomal RNA", at positions 521 to 896 of the family's 1533-position model. The record is from RNAcentral.